This 433-nucleotide ribosomal RNA is filed under the name uncultured bacterium. RNAcentral's name for it is "partial 16S ribosomal RNA". It matches the Rfam family "Bacterial small subunit ribosomal RNA", at positions 29 to 507 of the family's 1533-position model. The record is from RNAcentral.
AGCGAACGCUGGCGGCAGGCCUAACACAUGCAAGUCGAACGGAUCCUUCGGGAUUAGUGGCGGACGAGUGAGUAACACGUGGGAACGUGCCCUUUGGUUCGGAACAACCCAGGGAAACUUGAGCUAAUACCGGAUGUGCCCUUCGGGGGAAAGAUUUAUCGCCAUUGGAGCGGCCCGCGUCUGAUUAGCUAGUUGGUGAGGUAACGGCCCACCAAGGCGACGAUCGGUAGCUGGUGUGAGAGGAUGAUCAGCCACACUGGGAAUGAGACACGGCCCAGACUCCUACGGGAGGCAGCAGUGGGGAAUCUUGCGCAAUGGGCGAAAGCCUGACGCAGCCAUGCCGCGUGAAUGAUGAAGGUCUUAGGAUUGUAAAAUUCUUUCAGCGGGGACGAUAAUGACGGUACCCGCAGAAGAAGCUCCGGCUAACUUCGUG